Molecule: long non-coding RNA, 118 nt
Organism: Gavialis gangeticus (Gharial)
Lineage: Eukaryota; Metazoa; Chordata; Crocodylia; Gavialidae
Exons: 3
Source: RefSeq, a predicted model, not a curated record
UUCACAAAAUAAACCCAGGGUUUUCAAACAGGAAUCCAUAGUAUCAAAACCAGUCUGACUUCUUGUGGUCUUUCCGAGUUCCCUGCAACAAAACAAUUGCUCUAUUGUUCUGUAGCCA